AUGGGAUGGAGCAGGAUCAUGCUCUUCCUCCUGUCAGUAACUACAGGUGUCCCCUCCCAGGUCCAACUGCAGCUACCUGGGGCUGAGCUGGUGAAACCUGGUUCCUCAGUGAAGUUGUCCUGUAAGGCUUCUGGCUACACCUUCACCAGCUACAAUAUUCAAUGGGUGAAGCAAAGUCCUGGACAGGGCCUGGAGUGGAUUGGAUAUAUUAAUCCUGGUAGUGGUUGUACUGGCUACAAUCAGAAGUUUAAGGACAAGGCCAAACUUACUGCAGACACAUCCUCCAGCAUGGUCUACAUGGAGCUCAGAAGCCUGACAUCUGAGGACUCUGUAGUCUAUUUCUGUGCAAGACACAGUGUUACAACCCACAUCCUUAGUGUGUCAGAAACCCUGUUGGAGCAGGAAUCUGCCCUGGGACUGGGAUGA
Non-coding RNA from Onychomys torridus (southern grasshopper mouse), 426 nucleotides. NCBI's taxonomy places the organism in Eukaryota, Metazoa, Chordata, Mammalia, Rodentia, Cricetidae. The record is from the annotation of a RefSeq genome assembly.